Molecule: ribosomal RNA, 477 nt
Filed under: uncultured bacterium
Lineage: Bacteria
Description: partial 16S ribosomal RNA
Rfam family: Bacterial small subunit ribosomal RNA
Source: RNAcentral
GAUUAACGCUGGCGGCGUGCAUAACACAUGCAAGUCGAACGAUGAAACUCUGUAUACUUCUUCGGAUCGACACGAAGCGGGGUAGUGGCGACGGGGUGAGUAACGCGUGAGUAACCUGCCUUACACAAGGGGAUAGCCCUUGGACACGAAAGAUAAUACCCCAUAAAACCAUAAAAGGGCAUGCUAGAAUGGUCAAAGUGGUAGCGGUGUAAGAUGGACUUGCGUCUGAUUAGCUAGUUGGUGAGAUAAAAGCACACCAAGGCAACGAUCAGUGGCCGGCGGGAGAGCGUGUACGGUCGGAUUGGGACUGGGACACGACCCAGACUCCAAGGGGCGGCAGCGGUGGGGAAAUUAGCACAAGGGGGGAAACCCUGAUGCGCCGACGCCGGGUGAUUGAGAAGGCCUUCGGGUUGUAAAAAUCUUUUGUAUGGGAAGAAAAUGACAGUACUGGACGAAGAAGGUCCGGCUAAUUACGUG